UCCGAACUGGUGCAAUUGGUAGCACAGUUGAGGCGUCACCCACUAGUUCGUAUUGGUGGGCCCUUCGGGGGGCAAAAGGUCUUGGUUCGAGUCCAGGGUUCGGAG
This is a non-coding RNA of Clonostachys rhizophaga, 105 nucleotides long. Lineage: Eukaryota; Fungi; Ascomycota; Sordariomycetes; Hypocreales; Bionectriaceae. The record is from the annotation of a GenBank genome assembly.